Molecule: ribosomal RNA, 385 nt
Filed under: uncultured bacterium
Lineage: Bacteria
Description: bacterial SSU rRNA
Rfam family: Bacterial small subunit ribosomal RNA
Source: RNAcentral
AUUGAACGCUGGCGGCAUGCCUUACACAUGCAAGUCGAACGGCAGCACGGGAGCAAUCCUGGUGGCGAGUGGCGAACGGGUGAGUAAUAUAUCGGAACGUGCCCGGUCGUGGGGGAUAACGUAGCGAAAGCUACGCUAAUACCGCAUACGAUCUACGGAUGAAAGCGGGGGAUCGCAAGACCUCGCGCGAUUGGAGCGGCCGAUAUCAGAUUAGGUAGUUGGUGAGGUAAAGGCUCACCAAGCCGACGAUCUGUAGCUGGUCUGAGAGGACGACCAGCCACACUGGGACUGAGACACGGCCCAGACUCCUACGGGAGGCAGCAGUGGGGAAUUUUGGACAAUGGGCGCAAGCCUGAUCCAGCAAUGCCGCGUGCAGGAUGAAGGG